Molecule: long non-coding RNA, 1374 nt
Organism: Astatotilapia calliptera (eastern happy)
Lineage: Eukaryota; Metazoa; Chordata; Actinopteri; Cichliformes; Cichlidae
Source: Ensembl
CAGACAUUAAUGUGACAUUUCUAAGUCAUACCCCCCCACUCUCCACCACUACAGAUGAUCUACAACUGCCAAAUCCCAACCGUACUCCUUUCUCUGUUUAGAUGUGGAGGCAGCAUCCAUCUACAAUGCAAGCAACAGCAGCUAGGUAGUUUUUAUAAAAUUCUUUUAGUUUUUACUCUGCUUGGGUUCUACACAACAGAUGCUCAAGCUUUCAUUACCAUUAAGGUUGAACAAUUGUUUCUAUUCGUGUGACUUCAAAAUAGUUUUAUUAUUAUCAUUAUAUUAACACAUGAGGUUCAGCUUCCUUUGCAAAAACAAACAAAUUUAUUCAUACAAAAGACCUUACUUUUCCCCGUUACCUCAGUCAAGUAUCUGUACCUCUACUCAAGUGAAGAAUGACUACCUCUGCCUGCAGAUGUGCUGCCUUUAUCAACAUCCAACCAAUAGGACAGAAACCCUUUCAAGGAUCAGUCUGUAUACCCAACCCCCUUUUUCAAAAGGUCUCACAAAGAAUUGCCUGACAGCCAUUUUGAGCCUUCCCACAUCCUGCUUUGUUCUAUAGGCCGGAAGUUCCUGCUCAAAAUGCUAGCAGAGGGCUAACCAUGGGGAGAAAAAGAAAAUUCCAUGUUGGCAUUUCCUGCACAGGCCAUGACUUAUUACCUGAAACGAGAAGCACCCCCUUCUGCAAUCACACUCUCCACUUUGGCGGCUUGAGAAUGAAGAAUACUCAAAAGAAUAAGAAGAAUAGGAAGGGAUGGGGAAAACGGUGCUGAGGAAGAGAAAAGGGAAUGCAAUUAGCCACUAUAGGGGCUCUGGGAAAACAAGACAGGCACGGACUACACGAUUAGAGAAACGUUAAACAGGACACGAUUAGGUUUAAAAAAAAAAAAAUACCCAAAGACAUUUACACGACUGAUAAACAAUUCCGUGACUAGGUCUUCCGAGGCCCAGCCACUCACAGAAAAGAAUAAAUAAAAAUAAAUAACAUAAACCUGCCUCUUUACUUAAGCAAGUUAUACACGAACCCACUACAGAUGUGUUUGCUGAACACUGAUUAAGUGGCAUGAUAAAACGAUAUUAAAUGUCGAAAUGUAAACAUUUGUGCAGGUCUUUGCUCGGCUACAACAAAGCAAAGGUGCGUCAGCUAACUGGCUAACCUAAUUAGCUAGCCUGGUGGGUCUCUAAAGCCAUAGACUACGUCACGACAUUGCUAAGAUUUUUAGAAUUUUUUCCAUAAACCGUGUUUUAACAUUAUAGUUUUCUACAAUUUACCAAGUGUUAAAUGAGAAGCGUGACGCUACGUGGAAAUAGAUGCUUGGGGUUACACUGGCUCUCCACAGUUGGUGCUUUGUGUUGCUUUGCUGCUAUAGCUCG